GCUACCUGCUAUGAAAAGAAACAUUAAAGACAUCUUGAUGUAAAACAAUCCAUAUUCCCCAAGCACAAAGGGGAAAGAUCCUGUACAGCAAACCUUAAAUAGGGUAAUAUAAUCUCUUUCCUGAAGAUCUUUAGUAGAUUAUUUUAUUUCAAAUUUAUUUACAAAUUACCUAGGUUCUUAUACUUGUUAUGUUGGCUCUCUCUUGUGGUAGAUUUAUUGAAGUUAU
This 226-nucleotide unclassified non-coding RNA is filed under the name Hevea brasiliensis (rubber tree). Lineage: Eukaryota; Viridiplantae; Streptophyta; Magnoliopsida; Malpighiales; Euphorbiaceae. The record is from RNAcentral.